This is a long non-coding RNA of Erpetoichthys calabaricus (reedfish), 373 nucleotides long. RefSeq lists it as uncharacterized. Lineage: Eukaryota; Metazoa; Chordata; Cladistia; Polypteriformes; Polypteridae. The transcript has 3 exons. The record is from RefSeq and is a predicted model, not a curated record.
AGUUAUUUUAUGUAAAUAGCAUUUUUGAUUGUUCUACUUGUUCAUUAGUCAGCACAGAUGGAAUCACGAUUACAUUUUGAUGUUUCUGGUAGUUCAGUUUAUAGAUGAACAAAAAUCUGUGUCUGUUAUACCACAGAAUUGGUACAGUGAUGGCACAACCUUUUGGCCAAAUUAUAAGAGCGAUCAAAGACUCAACAAAGCAGCAAGAUAUGCUGAGGAACCAGGCCCAGACUGGACCAAGCACGAUGUUAGAGUACUAAAGUCCUACGGAGAUUACAUGUCUGCAUGGCAAGGGAUGAAGAAGUCUUUGAUUUGUCAAACUUCAGAAUUGGAUACAGAUGGUGAGGGGGAUAUAGGCAGCGUGAAAAGAGCA